UAGGGAAUCUUCCGCAAUGGGCGAAAGCCUGACGGAGCAACGCCGCGUGAGUGAUGAAGGUCUUCGGAUCGUAAAACUCUGUUAUUAGGGAAGAACAAAUGUGUAAGUAACUAUGCACGUCUUGACGGUACCUAAUCAGAAAGCCACGGCUAACUACGUGCCAGCAGCCGCGGUAAUACGUAGGUGGCAAGCGUUAUCCGGAAUUAUUGGGCGUAAAGCGCGCGUAGGCGGUUUUUUAAGUCUGAUGUGAAAGCCCACGGCUCAACCGUGGAGGGUCAUUGGAAACUGGAAAACUUGAGUGCAGAAGAGGAAAGUGGAAUUCCAGGGGUAGCGGUGAAAUGCGCAGAGAUAUGGAGGAACACCAGUGGCGAAGGCGACUUUCUGGUCUGUAACUGACGCUGAUGUGCGAAAGCGUGGGGAUCAAACAGG
Molecule: ribosomal RNA, 429 nt
Filed under: Actinomycetes bacterium
Lineage: Bacteria; Bacillati; Actinomycetota; Actinomycetes
Description: Actinobacteria bacterium partial 16S ribosomal RNA
Rfam family: Bacterial small subunit ribosomal RNA
Source: RNAcentral